RNAcentral lists this long non-coding RNA (1036 nucleotides) under Malus domestica (apple). RNAcentral describes it as "long non-coding RNA (MDOM_LNC005344)". The record is from RNAcentral. Lineage: Eukaryota; Viridiplantae; Streptophyta; Magnoliopsida; Rosales; Rosaceae.
AUGUUGGGAGGAAAAGAGAGUUUAGAAGUCUUAUGAACAUUAAUUUUGGUUAGAUUAAAAAAUUGAAAAAACUAGCUAGGUUAUAUUUCGAAGGAAACUAUAUUGGUGGGAAGAUGAGCAUUUGUGACCGUUUACAAGAGUUAAUACCGAAACAGAAAAUUUCGGAUGUGUGGAGCCAAAAAUAAUCAAGAGGCGACACGUGGAUUUUUAGGUGAAUAGGACAAAAUUACCCUUGAGACACACCGGGUUUCUUACACGCGAGCAGUGGAGAAUUAUCCAUCAACCAAGUCAAGAGUGCCCAAAAUAGGUAACAAGUUCAAAUUUAUCUCAUCCAUCUUUACUCCAUAUCCUCUACAAGGAAAUAAUUCCAUAACCUUCAAAACCUUCCAUAUAAAUUAAAUUAAUUAGGCUAAUUAAUGGAUUAAUUCCAAAUUAAUCCAUUAAUCACCAAAUUAAUCACCAUUACACCCUAAAAAACAUCCAAGGGCUAGCCACUCUCUUCCAAAGAGGGUCAGCCAUGCUCUAUAAAUAGGACUCCAUUUUCUUUGAAAGACUUGUUCCACACUCUUGCAAAACUCCCAAAAAACUCUCCAAACACUUUUUUCUCUAAAUUCUAACUUUGGCAUUGGAGGUUCUUCGGCCAAAGCCCCCCAUUCAUCGUGGGCACAUGAGGCUCUUGGCCUUGACCUAAGGUGUUAAUUGUUUUGUAGGUGCAAUUUUGUCCAAGAAGAAGAAGGCGGAAAUUUGCAUCCACAAAUUGGUGCUUUCAUUGAUAGCUGAGUCCCACACUCGUAGAAGACUCUCGCAUUCAAGGUUUUCUAUUUUCUUGUCCAUAUGUAGAUUUUUCGUACGUUCUUAUUAUUAGAAUUUUUUAUUUGCAAAAAUUCUUUGAUAAAACGUAAAAGAGAAGUACAAUGGCUAGAAAUUUAGAAAAUUCAACAAAUGAAAUUUUCAACAUUCAAAAAAUGGGACCAUGGCGAUCCACGAGGCUAAAUGUGACAAUAAGUGGAGUGGCACCACCACCACGAGUUUCCAC